RNAcentral lists this non-coding RNA (86 nucleotides) under Candidatus Zhuqueibacterota. Its description in RNAcentral is "Candidate division c-di-GMP-II sequence". It matches the Rfam family "Cyclic di-GMP-II riboswitch aptamer". The record is from RNAcentral. Lineage: Bacteria; Pseudomonadati.
UAUUCUAACGAAAGCUAUGACCCGCGACAUAUAUAUGGUCACCUUAUGGUCGCAGGUAGCUAGUGGUGAAACCGGUCGUUUUUUUG